Molecule: unclassified non-coding RNA, 339 nt
Filed under: soil metagenome
Description: partial contains 5.8S ribosomal RNA, internal transcribed spacer 2, and large subunit ribosomal RNA
Rfam family: 5.8S ribosomal RNA (bases 1-120)
Source: RNAcentral
GAUGAAGAACGCAGCGAAAUGCGAUACGUAGUGUGAAUUGCAGAAUUCAGUGAAUCAUCGAAUCUUUGAACGCACAUUGCACCUCUCGGUAUUCCGGGAGGUAUGCCUGUUCGAGCGUCAUUUGUACCCUCAAGCUCUGCUUGGUGUUGGGUGUUUGUUCCGCCUCUGUGUGUGAACUCGCCUCAAAACAAUUGGCAGCCGGCGUACUUGUUUCGGAGCGCAGCACAUUUUGCGAUCCAGAUCAACGUACAGCGGCAUCCAAGAAGCCUUAUUUAACGCUCUUGACCUCGGAUCAGGUAGGGAUACCCGCUGAGCUUAAGCAUAUCAAUAAGCGGAGGA